Molecule: ribosomal RNA, 459 nt
Filed under: uncultured bacterium
Lineage: Bacteria
Description: partial 16S ribosomal RNA
Rfam family: Bacterial small subunit ribosomal RNA
Source: RNAcentral
CCUACGGGUGGCAGCAGUGAGGAAUAUUGGUCAAUGGUCGGGAGACUGAACCAGCCAAGCCGCGUGAGGGAUGAAGGUACAGAGUAUCGUAAACCUCUUUUGUCAGGGAACAAAGGCGGGGACGUGUCCCCGGAUGAGUGUACCUGAAGAAAAAGCAUCGGCUAACUCCGUGCCAGCAGCCGCGGUAAUACGGAGGAUGCGAGCGUUAUCCGGAUUUAUUGGGUUUAAAGGGUGCGCAGGCGGUCUGUUAAGUCAGCGGUCAAAGCCCGGGGCUCAACCCCGGCGCGCCGUUGAAACUGGUAGUCUUGAGUUGGAGAGAAGUAUGCGGAAUGCGCGGUGUAGCGGUGAAAUGCAUAGAUAUCGCGCAGAACUCCGAUUGCGAAGGCAGCAUGCCGGCUCCAAACUGACGCUGAGGCACGAAAGCGUGGGUAUCGAACAGGAUUAGAUACCCUGGUAGUC